UGGGGAAUUUUGGACAAUGGGCGAAAGCCUGAUCCAGCAAUGCCGCGUGUGUGAAGAAGGCCUUCGGGUUUUAAAGCACCUUUGUCCGGAAAGAAAUGGCUCUGGUUAAUACCUGGGGUCGAUGACGGUACCGGAAGAAUAAGGACCGGCUAACUACGUGCCAGCAGCCGCGGUAAUAAGUCGGGUCUAAGCGUUAAUCGGAAUUACUGGGCGUAAAGCGUGCGCAGGCGGUUGUGCAAGACCGAUGUGAAAUCCCCGAGCUUAACUUGGGAAUUGCAUUGGUGACUGCACGGCUAGAGUGUGUCAGAGGGGGGUAGAAUUCAACGUGUAGCAGUGAAAUGCGUAGAGAUGUGGAGGAAUACCGAUGGCGAAGGCAGCCCCCUGGGAUAACACUGACGCUCAUGCACGAAAGCGUGGGGAGCAAACAGG
RNAcentral lists this ribosomal RNA (429 nucleotides) under Acidobacteriota bacterium. RNAcentral describes it as "Acidobacteria bacterium partial 16S ribosomal RNA". It matches the Rfam family "Bacterial small subunit ribosomal RNA", at positions 355 to 776 of the family's 1533-position model. Lineage: Bacteria; Pseudomonadati; Acidobacteriota. The record is from RNAcentral.